RNAcentral lists this ribosomal RNA (374 nucleotides) under uncultured bacterium. RNAcentral describes it as "bacterial SSU rRNA". It matches the Rfam family "Bacterial small subunit ribosomal RNA", at positions 29 to 402 of the family's 1533-position model. The record is from RNAcentral.
AAUGAACGUUGGCGGCGUGGAUUAGGCAUGCAAGUCGAAUGAAUCUCAGGUAGCAAUACUUGGGGGAAAUGGCGAAAGGGGCAGUAAUGUAUGGGUAACCUACCCGGGGGUCGUGGAUAGCCGUCCUAACGGACGGGUAAUACACGGCGAUUCGACGAGGGGACAUCCUCUUGUCGGGAAAGAAUUUCGCCUCCGGAGGGGCUCAUAUCGUAUUAGCUAGUUGGUGAGGUAACGGCUCACCAAGGCGAAGAUGCGUAGCGGGUGUGAGAGCACGACCCGCGCCACUGGCACUGAGACACUGGCCAGACACCUACGGGUGGCUGCAGUCGAGGAUCUUCGGCAAUGGGCNCAAGCCUGACCGAGCGACGCCGCGU